UGUAUUUUUAAUCACACCUGGUGAAGACCCUUAGGAGAGAGGACCCCAGAGCUGCUGCAGGAAGCGGUGGCAUUAGGGUCCCCGACCUGUGCUUGACAUCUGGCUGACCCGGCCCACUGAGGAAACCCAAGCUGGAUCUGGGCCACUUCUCUGAAGCCACGUCCCUGCCGAGUGCAAGCCCAGGACCGAACUUGCUGUCCUGGCUGAGUGCGCCCAGCUAACCAGCGCCCCACACGGCUGGGCGGGGCGCGCUGCUCACCUUGCUGUCCACUCCGCCUGAGGCUGGGCCCCAGGGUGUCCAUGUGGCCGGUGGCUUCUAGGAGCCUGGAUGCGGCAGGCUGAGUCCACGCCACCCCUCCGAUGUGACAGCCACCACUGAGCACACAGGGGACACAGGGUGGAGGCAGGUGCUGGCCAGAGCUCCAGAGCCCAGGGCUUGAGGGUGUGGACGGAUGGCGACUUGAAGUUCAGACCUGCUGCUUCCUGUUGUGGGAGCUGGGGAAAGUUCUCUGCCCCUUGGAGUCUCUAGUUCCUCUCUGUCACUGACAAAACUCCUGAGGUCACUGUGAGGGUGAAAUGAGAAAAUAGAGACACUGUGUGACAGUGGAGCCCAUGGUGUGGACCUGACUGGCUUGGCAGCUACACUGGGCACGGCCCACUUCCGGGGUCUGUGUGUGUAGUGGGGUAGGACUUGGGCACUGUAUGCUGUCUGUCCCCAGCCCCUUCCUCUCUGGUGCUGCUUCCUGCUCUGCUUCCUGUGCACCAUGAGGUGAGGAGCUCUGCUCUGCCACACCCUUCCACCUUGAUGUUCCUGCCCUGGAGCAGCCACCGUGGACUGGAUCCCCUGAAACCAUGAGCCAAAGAACCAGUUCCUCCUUGGAACUCUGGGUAUCGGUAUUGUGUUCCAGUGAUGGAAAGCUGACUGAUACAACUGCUGUUCUGACAGGGGAGGUGGCCACACAGGGCUGCUGUAGGCACAGGGACAUGUGGAGAGAGGGGUGCAGUGCCUGGGAGGGGACCUGGAAUGUGGAACACCUGUGGAGCCUGAGGGCACAGCCGGAGCAAAGCCUUGUGCUGCUCAGCUCCCAGCGUGAGUUGGAAGUGGAACAGCUGGACACAAAGGGACCCGGGCUGAAGGCAGAGAGCUGACCAAGGAGGGCUGUCCUUGCCUCCCAUGUCUAGGCUUUUGGUGUGUGGAACUGUCUCCUCAUUUCUUCUCAAGAACAGGAGAAGUAGCACUAGCUAC
Heterocephalus glaber (naked mole-rat) is the source of this 1246-nucleotide long non-coding RNA. The record is from Ensembl. Lineage: Eukaryota; Metazoa; Chordata; Mammalia; Rodentia; Bathyergidae.